UUCAGGGGUAAACCUGAGAAACCCGAAAGGUCGAAAGGGGAGAUUCAGCGUGUCUCGAUCGUAGCGCUGGAUGGUCGUGCGACGGACGGCGUACGCGUCGUCCGCGCCUUUCGUCCUCCGAACUGCGGUCGAACGCGUGCACUUCUCCCCCUGUAGGACGUCGCGAUUCGUUGGGUGUCGGCCUAAGGCCCGAGGUGGAGUUCGUCCGGACGUUUCGGCGUUCGUGACGAACCCUCGGUGUUUCCCGGUCGGCUCGCUCGACGAUAUACAGAUGGCGCGGGGCCGCUACUUAGUUAGCGUUCGACCUUCGGCAAGCGCGCUCUUCGCGACGGUGAUCGGACCUAGUGCCGGUCCUGUCCUUGGGCGACUGUUGGCCGAGGUGUUCUCGAACAGACCUCGUUGAAACGCCGAUCUGCGACGCUAUAGCUUUGGGUACUUUCAGGACCCGUCUU
Molecule: ribosomal RNA, 452 nt
Filed under: Agnaptoria sp. QH007
Lineage: Eukaryota; Metazoa; Arthropoda; Insecta; Coleoptera; Tenebrionidae
Description: partial 28S ribosomal RNA
Source: RNAcentral